Molecule: ribosomal RNA, 461 nt
Filed under: uncultured bacterium
Lineage: Bacteria
Description: bacterial SSU rRNA
Rfam family: Bacterial small subunit ribosomal RNA
Source: RNAcentral
ACCUCGUGCUACAGGAUGAGCUUGCGUCGGAUUAGCUAGUUGGUGGGGUAAGGCCUACCAAGGCGACGAUCCGUAGCUGGUCUGAGAGGAUGAUCAGCCACACCGGGACUGAGACGCGGCCCGGACUCCUACGGGAGGCAGCAGUGGGAAUAUUGCGCAAUGGGGGCAACCCUGACGCAGCCAUGCCGCGUGUGUGAAGAAGGCCUUCGGGUUGUAAAGCACUUUCAGUGGGGAGGAAAGGGGCGCUGGCUAAUAUCCAGUGCAGUUGACGCUACCCACAGAAGAAGCACCGGCUAAUUCCGUGCCAGCAGCCGCGGUAAUACGGAAGGUGCGAGCGUUAAUCGGAAUUACUGGGCGUAAAAGCGCGCGUAGGCGGCUUGGUAAGUCGGGGUGUGAAAAGCCCCCGGGCUCAACCUGGGAACUGCAUUCGAUACUGCUGGGCUAGAGUACGAGAGAGGGGG